RNAcentral lists this long non-coding RNA (456 nucleotides) under Hordeum vulgare. RNAcentral's name for it is "long non-coding RNA (HVUL_LNC010261)". Lineage: Eukaryota; Viridiplantae; Streptophyta; Magnoliopsida; Poales; Poaceae. The record is from RNAcentral.
CCCAACAUCAUAACUCUGUCUCCUCUUGGUUUAAAUGAAUCUUUCUCUACAUCUAAAGAAUGAACAACCAUGAAAAUUAUGGAUGGAUAAGGUUUGUCCAUAAUUAAUUUCUCCAAUAUAAUAUGGAUAUAAACAACAUGGUGUUUCGUAAUGUAUGAGUGAAGGUGCUAGAGGUUUUACCCAAAUCCUUCAUCUCAAAUUCCGUCAUUUGAUGAUUAUAUACUGCCCAACAACGUGUCCAGCCAUGACAAUGUGUCCAUUGUUGAAACCGUUUGGAGCCCCUGUCCUGUAGUCCAAGCCUCGCCUUACAUGCUUACUCAGCAUGUCAGGAUGACCGAAGAAACUCCUUCAAGUGAGGAGACAACCCAUCGUAUAUGUCGCUGAAGGCUAGGCUUUGCCUCCGAAGAGGGGGUUCUCCGUUGUCAACACCAUCAACUCAACUCUUCAACACCGUCA